UGGGGAAUAUUGCGCAAUGGCUGAGAGGCUGACGCAGCGACGCCGCGUGUGGGAGGAAGCCCUUCGGGGUGUAAACCACUGUCAGGGGGGAAGAACCCCGGUCGUGAGAAUAUCACGGUCGGCUGACGGUACCCCCAGAGGAAGCGCCGGCUAACUCCGUGCCAGCAGCCGCGGUAAGACGGAGGGCGCGAGCGUUGUCCGGAAUUACUGGGCGUAAAGCGUGCGCAGGCGGCCCGUUAAGUCCUUUGUGAAAUCCCGGGGCUCAACCCCGGAAUCGCAGUGGAUACUGGCGGGCUAGAGACCGGUAGAGGCUAGCGGAAUUCCCGGUGUAGCGGUGGAAUGCGUAGAUAUCGGGAAGAACACCAGUGGCGAAGGCGGCUAGCUGGGCCGGUUCUGACGCUCAUGUACGAAAGCGUGGGGAGCAAACAGGAUUAGAUACCCCCGUAGUCC
This 450-nucleotide ribosomal RNA is filed under the name uncultured prokaryote. Its description in RNAcentral is "bacterial SSU rRNA". It matches the Rfam family "Bacterial small subunit ribosomal RNA", at positions 355 to 796 of the family's 1533-position model. The record is from RNAcentral.